This is an RNA transcript of Egretta garzetta (little egret), 1268 nucleotides long. It is a transcript of the gene named autophagy related 5, with no coding region annotated. The transcript has 8 exons. The record is from RefSeq and is a predicted model, not a curated record. NCBI's taxonomy places the organism in Eukaryota, Metazoa, Chordata, Aves, Pelecaniformes, Ardeidae.
CGCCAGGCGGUAACGGGGAAGGUCCCUUUGCCUCUACGAUUGGGGUGUGAUGCAGGCUUAGAAAAUGCUCAGUUACUCGUCGUCCGCCGUGUGUAGCUGGGGGAGCGUUAACUCUGAGGCCUCAACUCAAACCGAUGGAUUUAAUGUCCCAGUGACAGUGUUGAUCAUGCUUGCAGGAGAGUUGUUGUGAGAGAAGCGUUGUUCGUGGCUGUAUUUUAUGUAUUUUAUUUGCAGUUGUGCUGACUUGUUUCUUUUUGGGGGGAACAGGGUUACAGUUCUAGCUGGAGCAACAAAGUGAUCUACAUGUGCUUCGCUGUCUGUUGGAAGAAUGACAGAUGACAAAGAUGUACUUCGAGAUGUGUGGUUUGGACGAAUACCAACCUGUUUCACUCUGUAUCAGGAUGAGAUAACUGAAAGGGAAGCUGAACCUUACUAUUUGCUUUUGCCAAGGAUAAGCUACUUGACACUGGUAACGGACAAAGUGAAGAAACACUUUCAGAAAGUUAUGAGACAAGAGGAAGUUAGUGAAAUAUGGUUUGAAUAUGAAGGUACACCACUGAAAUGGCAUUACCCAAUUGGUUUACUGUUUGAUCUCCAUGCAUCAAAUACAGCCCUUCCUUGGAGCAUCACAGUGCAUUUCAAGAAUUUUCCAGAAAAGGAUCUUCUACACUGCCAUUCUAAGGAUGUGAUUGAAGCUCAUUUUAUGGCUUGUAUAAAAGAAGCAGAUGCUUUAAAGCACAAAAGUCAAGUCAUCAAUGAGAUGCAAAAAAAGGAUCAUAAGCAACUGUGGAUGGGAUUACAGAAUGAUAAAUUUGAGCAGUUUUGGGCAAUAAAUCGAAAACUCAUGGAGUAUCCUCCAGAAGAUAGUGGAUUUCGAUACAUCCCAUUUAGAAUUUAUCAGGCAACAACAGAGAGACCUUUUAUACAGAAGCUAUUUCGACCAAUUGCUUCAGGAGGACAGUUGCAUACUUUGGGAGAUCUGCUAAAAGAUGUGUGUCCUAGUGCUAUCACCCCUGAAGCUGAUGCCUAUCUGCAAAAGAGAGUCCUUUGCCAAUACUUUCUUUGGCUGGAUCAAGGUGGUUUCCUGAUCAGGAACACUGAGGCACCUUAGAGAUGAUAGAGAAUCAGACCUCUUCUUAAACUCUUCACUUUGGAGCUGCUUCACUCUUCUGACUUCACAUGAUGGAGAGCAGAAGACUCAAGUGAUGAUUCAUGGAAUUGAGCCAAUGCUGGAAACGCCCAUACAGUGGCUAAGCGAACAUAUGAGC